UGGGGAAUAUUGGGCAAUGGGCGCAAGCCUGACCCAGCAACGCCGCGUGAAGGAAGAAGGCUUUCGGGUUGUAAACUUCUUUUAUGAGGGACGAAGAAAGUGACGGUACCUCAUGAAUAAGCCACGGCUAACUACGUGCCAGCAGCCGCGGUAAUACGUAGGUGGCGAGCGUUAUCCGGAUUUACUGGGUGUAAAGGGCGUGUAGGCGGGAAGGCAAGUCAGAUGUGAAAACUAUGGGCUCAACCCAUAGCCUGCAUUUGAAACUGUUUUUCUUGAGUGAUGGAGAGGCAGGCGGAAUUCCGUGUGUAGCGGUGAAAUGCGUAGAUAUACGGAGGAACACCAGUGGCGAAGGCGGCCUGCUGGACAUUAACUGACGCUGAGGCGCGAAAGCGUGGGGAGCAAACAGG
Molecule: ribosomal RNA, 407 nt
Filed under: uncultured bacterium
Lineage: Bacteria
Description: bacterial SSU rRNA
Rfam family: Bacterial small subunit ribosomal RNA
Source: RNAcentral